This is a long non-coding RNA of Engraulis encrasicolus (European anchovy), 341 nucleotides long. RefSeq lists it as uncharacterized. The record is from RefSeq and is a predicted model, not a curated record. The transcript is spliced from 3 exons. NCBI's taxonomy places the organism in Eukaryota, Metazoa, Chordata, Actinopteri, Clupeiformes, Engraulidae.
GGUCGGAGCGGAGAUGGCAGGAAGUGACGCAGGGGGUGAGGCGGUGGAGAUGGAGGGAGAGGACGCGGGAGACUCGAACAAGGAUGGUUGGCAAACGAAAGCUCAUACAGGAGUGGAAGGCAAUGAAGUGGCUGACAUACUGGCCAAAAACGCCCUUAAGAUGGAGCUAGGCAACCUGGUGGUGCCCCUAAGCAGAGAGGAGCACCCCCGUUAGUGCGCACACUCCAUCAAUGCUCCGUACCUCUGACCUGAACAAGCCAUGCAAAGAGUUGUACAUAACUGCACCAGUUGGUGGCGGUAAUGCUCCACGUCGGUAGCCAACCGCCAAUAAACACCAAAGA